RNAcentral lists this long non-coding RNA (875 nucleotides) under Cyanistes caeruleus (blue tit). Its description in RNAcentral is "lncRNA (ENSCCEG00000009134.1)". The record is from RNAcentral. Lineage: Eukaryota; Metazoa; Chordata; Aves; Passeriformes; Paridae.
AUGACCAUGCAUCUGGUGCCUCAGAAGAGGUCCCUGGAGCACAGCCCUGCCCAGCAGGGGAAAUUCCUGUGCUCACACACAUCUCUGCAGGACGUGCUGCUACAUACAAGGUGCCACCCCUGGUUUUCACAAUGCCUCCAGCAGUUUUUAGAUCAAACAUGCUCUGCACAGACAUGCAGUGGGAUGAGGGGUAGGGCUCCCAUCACUGUCACAUCACAAACACAAGCUCACAGAACGCCACAAACACAACUGGCUCAGCCCAAGCACCCUCUGCUCCAGCUGCUCCUCUCCCAUCCUCAACACCUGCACUCCUGUCUGCAACACUCUGAUGAAGCUUCUUGCCAGCCCACAAGCUCUAAAGGAUGCUCUGAUGAAGAAUGUAGAUAUUCUAUCAUCACUCCCAGGGGUGAAGAGUUGCCUGAGGUGACACAAACCAGCUGGGGAGGCUGCAGGAGGUGCCUGUGGUCCCAGCCCUUGCUGGGUGCUGGAGAAGCAGUGUCCCCAGGAGGAGUCAUGCUGGGACAGUGCCACAGGCUGCAGCCAGAGAUCAGCACAAGCAUUUCCUGCACACAGCCAGGGUCAGGUCCUGCUCCUCAAGGCCCAGCUGAACAACAGCACUCACAUGCCUGGGAUGCCCUUGGAUCCCAGCUGGCUCUUCCAUGGCUGCCAUAGCCUGACCAUGAGCCCAAAAUGACACACCUCAGCCCAAAAAACUUCCUCAGCUGCCUUUUGACAUAUAAACGUGGAAAAGUGACCAUCAGAAACACCAGUGACAGCACUGGGGAGAGGCAAAUGCAGAUUUCUAUGUAAAGAAGGGUAAUUUAUGCUGAUGUGGGUACAAUAAAAAACAAUUCCAGUAUGUAUUAUGUAAAAUU